This 572-nucleotide ribosomal RNA is filed under the name uncultured Alphaproteobacteria bacterium. Its description in RNAcentral is "bacterial SSU rRNA". It matches the Rfam family "Bacterial small subunit ribosomal RNA", at positions 520 to 1090 of the family's 1533-position model. Lineage: Bacteria; Pseudomonadati; Pseudomonadota; Alphaproteobacteria. The record is from RNAcentral.
GUACUACAACGGGACCUACUGUCACUGGGAAUUACUGGGCUUAAAGUGUUCGUAGGUGGUUGAACAAGUCGGUGGUGAAAUCCCAGAGCUUAACUCUGGAACUGCCAUCAAAACUUUUCAGCUAGAGUAUGAUAGAGGAAAGCAGAAUUUCUAGUGUAGAGGUGAAAUUCGUAGAUAUUAGAAAGAAUACCAAUUGCGAAGGCAGCUUUCUGGAUCAUUACUGACACUGAGGAACGAAAGCAUGGGUAGCGAAGAGGAUUAGAUACCCUCGUAGUCCAUGCCGUAAACGAUGUGUGUUAGACGUUGGAAAUUUAUUUUCAGUGUCGCAGGGAAACCGAUAAACACACCGCCUGGGGAGUACGACCGCAAGGUUAAAACUCAAAUGAAUUGACGGGGACCCGCACAAGUAGUGGAGCAUGUGGUUUAAUUCGAAGAUACGCGCAGAACCUUACCAACACUUGACAUGUUCGUCGCGACUCUAAGAGAUUAGAGUUUUCGGUUCGGCCGGACGAAACACAGGUGCUGCAUGGCUGUCGUCAGCUCGUGUCGUGAGAUGUUGGGUUAAGUCCCGC